Molecule: long non-coding RNA, 2519 nt
Organism: Cyprinus carpio carpio
Lineage: Eukaryota; Metazoa; Chordata; Actinopteri; Cypriniformes; Cyprinidae
Source: Ensembl
AUUUGUUUAGAGUUGUUCUGGCUUGUAAAUGGUGCUUAAUUUGUGCAGAUUUCUUUUCUGAUUCAGUCCAGACUACUUUUCACUGGAAGAUGUGUUAUUAUGGAUUAUGCACUCUAUAGAUUUUAGUUAAAACUUCUUGAUGAUGGAUUUGUUUCAGCUUUUGUCUUCUCCUGAUGGACUGGAGUGGUGUGGAUUAUUGUGAUGUUGUAAUCAGCUGUUUGGACUCUCAUUCCGACGGCACCCAUUCACUGCAGAGUAUCCAUUGGCUUUGAAAAAAAUCAGCAAGCUCUUGUUUCUUCAAAUCAUCCUUUGGGUCUGCUAUUUUGAAUGCAGCUACAAAGCAGAGCAGAUUAUGAAGCUCCUCGAUCCUCAGCAGGGAAUUUCACACCGGCACACGCAGACCUCUGGUUUUGUCGUGGCAUGUUGCAUAUGCCUUCCUGUACAGGAGCGUGUUCUUCUCUCUGAAAUCAGCUGAGCAAGGUGCCCUGCGCCCGCAGGUUACUGCCAGCCGUGGUGAAUGAAUUUCGACAGCUGCACGGCCACAGAUAGUCACAUUGUGUCAUGACAGAGCUGGGGCCAAAGAGAGGGAGGAAUACAGGAGAGGAAGAGCCUCUCGCUGCUGACCUGAGACCUGUCAAAGCCCCUUCAGCCUGCUGUGCCAUCACGUCAACAACAUCUGCUAACAAUCUGCCUACAAUUAGUCAGAUGCCCGGGAAGCUUUCGUCAAGCGACACCUGUUCAUUCUGCCAUCGCAGGAGGACACGUUCUGGCAGAGGGCCGAAUUAAACACACCGCUUUCUGCUAAAAUACAGAAAAUAGUGCAGGUUCUCAUUUGCUGAAGUGAAAGUCAACCUGACAUCACAACGGACGUGAUCAGUCCCUUCAGGGCAGGUCGGUCCAAUUGGCAAAGCAUCUUGCUGAGGCCUUCAGGCAGCUAUUUCCAGUCUUGAAGGUUUCUGUGGUUGCACUGCCACCCUUCUGCAACACGCUGUCAGGUUUACAAACGAUGGAAAGCACGUGUGACGACUGCACGAACGCUACAAUUAAUGCACGAUUUCUGGGAUCGAACAAAUCUGGAUUUAUUGGAUUUACCAAAAUUUGCAUGCUUUUGGCUUCACAAGACCUCAAUUGAUGGACUGGAGUGGGAUGGAUUGCUUGUGGAUUAUUCUGAUGUUUUUAUCAGCUGUUUGGACUCUCAUUACGACGGCACCCAUUCACUGCAGAGCAUCCAUUGGUGAGCAAGCAGCUGAAUGGAUUUAUUAUGCACCUCACCUGUCUUCAAAAUGGCACAAGCUGGUCACUUUAAAUGUCAGUCAAAUGGUCUGUUUCUAGACUGCCUGUGACAGCACUAAAUAAGAUGUCUGGUGUGAGUCAGCACUCAGAUGCUUGCUGACCGGGAAAGUAACUGUGUUAAGCAUGCAACAGAUUAAAACGUUCAGCUUUGGAAAGUUUCCCCCAGCACCAUUAAUGUUUUUCAUUUUCAUUAUCUGUCACUGGAGGUAUAAAUGCCAUGAGGAUUAGAGAAAUACAUGGACUCUCUGCUCGCCUGCCCUUCUGUGCUUAUCCGCCCUCGUCCUCCAUCCAUCCCCGGGUCGUUAAACUCCCGCCGGCAUUCGCCUCACGCUACACGGUCCGAGGCAAAGCUCCUGCGGCCGGGUCACAGACAAGCACAUAACCUGAGCGACUGGCCUAGUGUCUUAGGAAUUUCUAUAAUCCUGCAGAUCUAUUACAGAUAGCGCCACUGACACAGGCUACAGAGAUUAGAAGCAGCAGAUACUGACUGUAUUGAUUGGCCCUUCUCAUCCCUCGCUGCAUGGGUGUGUAAUGGAAACGCGGUAAUGAAUUCCAGGAGCCUGUCACAGUCCGAGACCUCUAAUUGAGUCGGAAGCGUGUGAAGAGUUGUGUGCGUAUAGACGUAUGACUUUAGAAAGGGAUUUACCCUUCUUAAAAAACGGUUGGCAUGGGUUUUUUGUCUUUCAUUCUCUUUAAUUCUUGACGCAGUGCUCUUCAAAAGCGUCAGUCGGUGCACGCAUGAGGUUUUGUUGCAGCUGAGGAUUAUUGUUGCUGUAAAGUUACAUCAUUUUCUACUCGAGGAAGUUCUUCUAUAAGCCCGUGAGCUCCUCAGUGCUAACAAACCACAGAAACACUGAUGAGGAGGAUGCAGUGAUGUAUCAGCGGCCGUAUUUGUGUGUUUUCACUGUUUUUUGAAAUUGGAUCAAAUGCCUGGUACAACCCUGUGCAUAUUUGAAGACUCUGUUGGGUGGAAUAAUUGUCUUUUUUAUUAUGAAAACUUCUGUAAACAUUCUUUAUUUGGACUAGUAACCUUAAUUUUUCAUCCCCCUUUGACAAAAGCAGGAAUCUAACAAAUCCAUUGAGGUUUUAAACAAGACAACUUUUUUGAAUGAUUAAAUAUAUUAACAACCUUAAUUCAAUAGACAAGCCCUAAUAUCUUAAGUAAAUUCAUGUUGUUUUCAAGAUGUUUAGAUAUUUUUACAGAAAUGCUACAUCACCUAAGAAAA